Long non-coding RNA from Ochotona princeps (American pika), 651 nucleotides. RefSeq lists it as uncharacterized. The transcript has 3 exons. Lineage: Eukaryota; Metazoa; Chordata; Mammalia; Lagomorpha; Ochotonidae. The record is from RefSeq and is a predicted model, not a curated record.
UCCCUUUGUCAUUUACUUCUGCUUCAAGGAGCUGGGUCAGAGGGUGCCUGUCGGCCAGCCUGCAAGAAGUGUGGGAUCACAAGCAAGUGAGUGGGCCAUACUACAGGACUCAAGGCUCUCCUGGGCAGGGUGCCUGUGAGGCCACUGGCCUCCAGGGAAAGCCAGAUACUCUUUCCGGGUGGCUGGAGGGCGCCUUUCACUACUCUAGCAGCCACCACAUGCCCUCCAGCCCUCUCCACACAGCCUGCUGGGAAAGCAGCAGAAUGUGCCAAUCCCUGUUCAAGGUCCUUGGCCCUGCCAUGUGCAGUGAUCUCCUGGAGAAAUGUACAAAGUCUUCUCUCCAAGCUGUUCUUAAGCUCCCAUUCACCAAGCAGACCAGCCAUUCAUCAUGACACGGAGGAUUGUACGCAGAACAUCACACCCACUGUCUGCUACCCUAAACAUAGUUCCUUCGCUAGCUACCAGCGUCCCUGAGGACACAUAGGUACGGUCCAGCCUGGAUGCCUCGCGAGCUCAACAUGCUUGCUGAAGUCGCUGCAGCAGGUUGGGGCCUGAGAUGAAGGCAAAGAAGGAAGUAACCAGGAAAAAUGACCAGUCACUGGAUACACGAAAGUCAGCACUAUUUGUGACAUACUUCUUGGGGCAGGUGUU